RNAcentral lists this ribosomal RNA (203 nucleotides) under Malassezia pachydermatis. RNAcentral describes it as "partial large subunit ribosomal RNA". Lineage: Eukaryota; Fungi; Basidiomycota; Malasseziomycetes; Malasseziales; Malasseziaceae. The record is from RNAcentral.
UACGUGAAAUUGUCGAAAGGGAAGCGCUUGAAGUCAGCCAUGCUGCUUGAGACUCAGCCUUGCUUUUGCUUGGUGUAUUUCUCGGUAGCAAGCCAGCAUUGGUUCGAGUCGUCGGAGAAGGGUAAUGAGAAAUGUGGCAUCCUCGGAUGUGUUAUAGACUUGUACUGGAUACGACGAUUUGGAUCAAGGAACGCAGUGUGCCU